UUCGUCCAAGGGAAGCAGAGGACAGUGGCGGACGGGUGAGUAACGCGUGAGGAACCUGCCUUUCAGAGGGGGAUAACAUUCUGAAAAGAAUGCUAAUACCGCAUGACAUAUCGGAAUCACAUGGUUUUGAUAUCAAAGAUUUUAUCGCUUGAAGAUGGACUCGCGUCCGAUUAGUUAGUUGGUGAGGUAACGGCUCACCAAGACCGCGAUCGGUAGCCGGACUGAGAGGUUGAACGGCCACAUUGGGACUGAGACACGGCCCAGACUCC
RNAcentral lists this ribosomal RNA (269 nucleotides) under uncultured Oscillospiraceae bacterium. RNAcentral describes it as "partial 16S ribosomal RNA". It matches the Rfam family "Bacterial small subunit ribosomal RNA", at positions 74 to 339 of the family's 1533-position model. The record is from RNAcentral. Lineage: Bacteria; Bacillati; Bacillota; Clostridia; Eubacteriales; Oscillospiraceae.